AGCAGCCGCGGUAAUUCCAGCUCCAAUAGCGUAUAUUAAAGUUGUUGCAGUUAAAAAGCUCGUAGUUGAAUUUCGGGGUCAAUACGUCGGUCGUGCCUCGGUACGCACUAACGUUAUUGAUUCCUCCCUUCUGACGAACCGUGAUGUCAUUAAUUUGGUGUUGUGGGGAAUCAGGACUGUUACCUUGAAAAAAUUAGAGUGUUUAAAGCAGGCAAUCGCUCGAAUACAUUAGCAUGGAAUAAUGAAAUAGGACGUUCGAACCUAUUUUGUUGGUUUCUAGGAUCGACGUAAUGAUUAAUAGGGAUAGUUGGGGGCAUUAGUAUUCAAUUGUCAGAGGUGAAAUUCUUGGAUUUAUUGAAGACUAACUACUGCGAAAGCAUUUGCCAAGGAUGUUUUCAUUAAUCAAGAACGAAAGUUAGGGGAUCGAAGACGAUCAGAUACCGUCGUAGUCUUAACCAUAAACUAUGCCGACUAGGGAUCGGAUGAUGUUAAUUUUUUAAUGACUCAUUCGGCGUCUUACG
RNAcentral lists this ribosomal RNA (521 nucleotides) under uncultured Glomeraceae. Its description in RNAcentral is "SSU rRNA". It matches the Rfam family "Eukaryotic small subunit ribosomal RNA", at positions 569 to 1092 of the family's 1831-position model. Lineage: Eukaryota; Fungi; Glomeromycota; Glomeromycetes; Glomerales; Glomeraceae. The record is from RNAcentral.